AGAGCGAACGCUGGCGGCAGGCCUAACACAUGCAAGUCGAGCGCCCGUAGCAAUACGGGAGCGGCAGACGGGAUAGUAACACGUGGGAACGCGCCCUUCGGUUCGGAAUAACUCAGGGAAACUUGAGCUAAUACCGGAUACGCCCUUACGGGGAAAGAUUUAUUGCCGAAGGAACGGCCCGCGUCCGAUUAGCUAGUUGGUGAGGUAAUGGCUCACCAAGGCGACGAUCGGUAGCUGGUCUGAGAGGAUGACCAGCAUCACUGGGACUGAGACACGGCCCAGACUCCUACGGGAGGCAGCAGUGGGGAAUAUGGACAAUGGGCGCAAGCCUGAUCCAGCCAUGCCGCGUGGAUGAUGAAGGCCUUAGGGUUGUAAAGUCCUUUUAACGGGGAAGAUAAUGACGGUACCCGUAGAAUAAGCCCCGGCUAACUUCGUGCCAGCAGCCGC
RNAcentral lists this ribosomal RNA (447 nucleotides) under uncultured bacterium. RNAcentral's name for it is "SSU rRNA". It matches the Rfam family "Bacterial small subunit ribosomal RNA", at positions 26 to 518 of the family's 1533-position model. The record is from RNAcentral.